Leopardus geoffroyi (Geoffroy's cat) is the source of this 3456-nucleotide long non-coding RNA. RefSeq lists it as uncharacterized. NCBI's taxonomy places the organism in Eukaryota, Metazoa, Chordata, Mammalia, Carnivora, Felidae. The record is from RefSeq and is a predicted model, not a curated record. The transcript has 2 exons.
CUAUCUUUAAAUUUCGGGAGACAUCGCUGAUACACAGGCUUCCUUAGAACCUUAGGAUGAGUGUUAUCCAGAGAUGGCCCUGCCUCUGGGGGCUGCACAGCGAUGCCCAGGCCUUGGCUGGGCAGCUUCCAAAUCAGAAUUGCACUUUAAUUGACUAACCCUCCAUUCUCGAGGCCUUACGCGAUAGUGGGUCUGGGGACCCAUUGCGUUCUUACCUGCCAAAGAACUACCCAGAAGCACAUCAAAUUGCCAACACCCCACCUGCAUGGCAGGGAGGAGGGGAGGUGAGAAACUUUUGUACCCCAAACAUAUUUCUUUAUAGCAUCUGCGGCACUGUUUGGAACUGUUUUCUUUUUAACCUCAGGAUUGAAAUAAAGCAAACACUAUGACACAGGGAGUAGCGUCGUCUUUCUUUGCACCGGGGCCUGAGGCGAGUGAUGAAGUUACCCAGACCGGACCGGGGGUGUGGAGUCACCCUGCUGGGACAUAGAGCAUCGGCUUGUACCCCAGCUUUUUAGAAGGGCUCGAGCCACCAGAUGCUCCGAGAGGUUUGCCGUGUGGCCUGGCAUCUGGGUACUCCCACCCCCACCUACCGUGAGGUCAGCGUUCAGGCCUACUGGAGUCAAGGCACCCUUCCAACCCGGCUGCUCUCCGCCAGAUGAGCAGAGAACACAAUGGUGACCUACCAGGACGGUGUGGGGGGCGGGGGAUGGUCAUGGAUGCCCUAAAACCAUGCUCAGUUGGCCUGUGGUACAAAGGUGGGCAAAACCACAGGGCCAAGGCAGCUGGCGGAGGAAGGAGUCACGUUCCCACCAUAACUUAACGCCUACUCCUGCUGAAUCAGCAGAGACCUGACACAGACCCAGAAGGGGCAGGACCCCAUCACCCCUGGACUGGUCAGAUGGAGCACACUCACCCCACACCCCGCAUCUGAGGAUCACAGCCCCCUUUCCCUCCCUCUCCCUUCCUCCUCCAACCCUCCCCCGGCGCCCAGAUUCUCAUGUGGCCUCUUCUCUGAUCAGUUACACAGGAAUACGUUCUAUUUUCUGUAACCGUAACCAUGUUCUCCCUUGAGGGCAGGCACCGUGUUUCCUUCAUCUCCUUCCUUUCUCUCAGCCCCACAGCGUCGAGCAUCAUGCCAGACACAGAAGCGCUCAGCAGUUACCGAGUCAAUGAGGCCACCAGACGGUCCCCAUGCUUGGUCAGGUCUGAGGCCAUCGCCAAUCCCAUUGGCCAACUUGGCCGGGGACAGGAGCCCCUGUAGCCCCCAUGGCACAGAAGGGCAAAGGGCAAGUCUCCAGGAGGGGGUGUGGGGAGAAUGGAGGUCUGCCCUUUCGGUUUGAAGAUGCGUGGGAAAAAUCUGGCGAGAGGAGUUUGCCGCCCACACAGAUCGGCGAAACCUGUCACCCCAGAUGAGAAAAUGGACUUUUUUUUUUGUUUGUUUGAGAGAGAGCAGUUGAGCCGAAGCCAUCAGAAGCCAGGCGGAGAGCACAGCUAUCAUGAAAGCCGUUCAAAGUGGGUUAGGGUUGACAGAAAGGUCAGCCUUCUGCGUUCCCCACAAGGUGGUUUCUGGAGGAGGGUGAACCCGAGCGCAAGUGUGAUCGCUGGCCUCUGGGGUUUGAUAGCUGUACCCCCGUCCCUCCCCAACCCCCUCGCCCUCCCCCCCUCCCCCCCGGCGCUCUGCGGGAGGACGGGGCCCUGGUGUGGUUUCCUCACACCUUCGGGCAUGUAUGGACUGCGGUUGUCUCAGACGUGGCAGCCCCAUCUGAAGCCUGGAACGAACUGUCUUCUUUGCUAAAAAAGAAAAAAAAAAAAAAAAGAACAAAGUCAGGCAUCCGCAAACCCGGCGCACGUGAGCGUCCUUACCAAAAGGAAGGCCUCGGACCCAGACCAGGUGGGGCUUGCGGGCCUGUGGCUCCCUAGAAUCACCAAAGGGAAGGCGAUUUCAAGUCAGGAGGGCCUCCCUCGCUUUCUGCCGCGGAGGAAGCCUCCGGCUGAGCCACGAGGAGAGAAGGAAGUUUCCCGCAAGGGCCUGGAUACCCGUUGGCCAGGUCGGUGGACAGGUACUGUCCUCUUCCCAGGAGGAAGGAAGGGGGGAGGGGAGGGGAGACAGGGGGAGGCGGUGAGGAAAGAGAGGUACAUGGGAGGGGCCUCCCAGAGGCCUCGGGGAGGGCCGGGCUGGAGUCUGGGUCAGCAGAACUCCCCUUUCUCAUCGGAGGAAAGGGCAGCGUCCGUGUGGCCAAGGCCAACCACCACAUCCAGCAGAGGCAACAUUUAAAUAGAAGGAAGACCUGGACGGUUUGCCAAAAAGACACGGAAGGCAGUGGCUGGAGACACGGGAAAGGUAGUCGGGUUCGUUCCCGUGUCUCUGGGCUUGGCUUCAGGGCUUCCUGUGCUCUCACAGAAAGGCCCUGAGGAGGGACGGCAGCCAGAGUCCUCCCCCCGCCGCCAGGCCUUUGCACCAGGGACGGGGUCCGUGUGUGGGACCAGAGGUCUGGGCAGGGACCGCCCUUCUCCACCAGCAAGGACCCCUGUGGAACCGUUGGGUGUUCUCAGAACGAGGGCCACACGCUCACGGCCAUGCCAACUCUGGUUCAUCAGGCUGAGCCACCCAGAAGCCUGCUAGCGGAUCAGCGCAGGUGACCCGCUAGGCCACCCCGAGGUCCUUGAGUGUCACUGCCGUGUCACCACUGCAGUCAGAGCUUGAGGAAAGGGGUGAAACGAACUAAUGGAUCUGUCCUCGAAUUUCUCUUCGCCAGUGACCCCUGAACCUUGGAACGGGGACUUCUCCAACCUCAGCCCGUUGGCCCAAGCGCCGGGACACAGGGGCAGCGACUUCCUUCUUGGAGAGGAAGCUACUUCCAAACAAACCACCGGGGAGGAAACUGUUCUACGGGCAGAAGUUUUCACAGCCGCCAUUUCUUCCACGGCUCGUGUUUGCCUUCAAGGACAUGUUGCUCGCUGACAGAUCGUUCCUCAGUGGGGAAACAUCCCCUGCCCCAAAUCCAAAGUGGCUUCAUCCAUGUCCAAAAUUUCAGAGUUCCAGGAAGAAACGGGAGUUCAGUGCCGACGGAUACGUGACGGGGGAGGUCGGGUCAAAUGCGGGCUCCUCACCUGGUCCAUACGCAGAACUCAGAAGGUCCGGGAACUUGGAUAGGGGGAAAAUGGCCUCUUUCCCCUGACUUUGCACUAAAAUGUAGAUCUUCCCCCCCACCGUGAAUGUAAACAACGUGUCACACUAGCACAUGUCAGCAAGGGCUGUGAUUUCGUCGCCAAUGGAAGUGACAGAUGUUUUCAUAUUUAACAGACUCUCAAAAUCUCAUCUCUGCUCUACAACAAAGGUUGUCAUCACACCCGCUGGUCGAUUUUACUUAAUGCAUUAAUAAUGAAAAAAAAAAAGGCACAGAUGUUACUGGUUCGUAAAUUUGUUCUGAUUUUUAGAGGAUUGUAUUUCAA